RNAcentral lists this ribosomal RNA (505 nucleotides) under uncultured bacterium. RNAcentral's name for it is "partial 16S ribosomal RNA". It matches the Rfam family "Bacterial small subunit ribosomal RNA", at positions 28 to 507 of the family's 1533-position model. The record is from RNAcentral.
GACGAACGCUGGCGGCGUGCCUAAUACAUGCAAGUAGAACGCACAGUUUAUACCGUAGCUUGCUACACCAUAGACUGUGAGUUGCGAACGGGUGAGUAACGCGUAGGUAACCUGCCUGGUAGCGGGGGAUAACUAUUGGAAACGAUAGCUAAUACCGCAUAAUAUUAAUUAUUGCAUGAUAAUUAAUUGAAAGGUGCAAUUGCACCACUACCAGAUGGACCUGCGUUGUAUUAGCUAGUAGGUGAGGUAACGGCUCACCUAGGCGACGAUACAUAGCCGACCUGAGAGGGUGAUCGGCCACACUGGGACUGAGACACGGCCCAGACUCCUACGGGAGGCAGCAGUAGGGAAUCUUCGGCAAUGGACGAAAGUCUGACCGAGCAACGCCGCGGGAGUGAAGAAGGUUUUCGGAUCGUAAAGCUCUGUUGUAAGAGAAGAACGGGUGUGAGAGUGGAAAGUUCACACUGUGACGGUAGCUUAACAGAAAGGGACGGCUAACUACGUG